UACAGAGGUCCCAAGCGUUGUUCGGAUUCACUGGGCGUAAAGGGUGCGUAGGUGGCGGGGUAAGUUGCGUGUUAAAUCUCAAGGCUUAACCUUGAAACCGCUCGCAAUACUGCUCUGCUCGAGGACUGUAGAGGAGAAUGGAAUUCACGGUGUAGCAGUGAAAUGCGUAGAUAUCGUGAGGAAGACCAGUGGCGAAGGCGAUUCUCUGGGCAGUUCCUGACACUGAGGCACGAAGGCCAGGGGAGCAAACGGG
This 253-nucleotide ribosomal RNA is filed under the name uncultured bacterium. RNAcentral's name for it is "partial 16S ribosomal RNA". It matches the Rfam family "Bacterial small subunit ribosomal RNA", at positions 524 to 776 of the family's 1533-position model. The record is from RNAcentral.